RNAcentral lists this ribosomal RNA (238 nucleotides) under uncultured bacterium. RNAcentral's name for it is "partial 16S ribosomal RNA". It matches the Rfam family "Bacterial small subunit ribosomal RNA", at positions 70 to 334 of the family's 1533-position model. The record is from RNAcentral.
CGGUAGCAAUACGUCAGCGGCAGACGGGUGGGUAACGCGUGGGAACAUACCUUUUGGUUCGGAACAACACAGGGAAACUUGUGCUAAUACCGGAUAAGCCCUUACGGGGAAAGAUUUAUCGCCGAAAGAUUGGCCCGCGUCUGAUUAGCUAGUUGGUGAGGUAACGGCUCACCAAGGCGACGAUCAGUAGCUGGUCUGAGAGGAUGAUCAGCCACAUUGGGACUGAGACACGGCCCAA